RNAcentral lists this ribosomal RNA (486 nucleotides) under uncultured bacterium. RNAcentral describes it as "partial 16S ribosomal RNA". It matches the Rfam family "Bacterial small subunit ribosomal RNA", at positions 30 to 507 of the family's 1533-position model. The record is from RNAcentral.
AUUGAACGCUGGCGGCAUGCCUUACACAUGCAAGUCGAACGGCAGCACGGGUGCUUGCACCUGGUGGCGAGUGGCGAACGGGUGAGUAAUACAUCGGAACAUGUCCUGUAGUGGGGGAUAGCCCGGCGAAAGCCGGAUUAAUACCGCAUACGAUCUACGGAUGAAAGCGGGGGACCUUCGGGCCUCGCGCUAUAGGGUUGGCCGAUGGCUGAUUAGCUAGUUGGUGGGGUAAAGGCCUACCAAGGCGACGAUCAGUAGCUGGUCUGAGAGGACGACCAGCCACACUGGGACUGAGACACGGCCCAGACUCCUACGGGAGGCAGCAGUGGGGAAUUUUGGACAAUGGGCGAAAGCCUGAUCCAGCAAUGCCGCGUGUGUGAAGAAGGCCUUCGGGUUGUAAAGCACUUUUGUCCGGAAAGAAAUCCUUGGCCCUAAUACGGUCGGGGGUUGACGGUACCGGAAGAAUAAGCACCGGCUAACUACGUG